GGACUACUGGGGUAUCUAAUCCUGUUUGCUACCCACGCUUUCGCGUCUCAGCGUCAGUAUCCGUCCAGAUGGCCGCCUUCGCCACCGGUGUUCCUCCCGAUAUCUACGAAUUUCACCUCUACUUCGGGAAUUCCGCCAUCCUCUCCGGUACUCGAGCUCUGCAGUUUCGGGCGCACUUCCUUGGUUGAGCCAAGGGCUUUCACACCCGACUUGCAAAGCCGCCUACUCGCGCUUUACGCCCAAUAAUUCCGAACAACGCUUGCACCCUCUGUAUUACCGCGGCUGCUGGCAC
Molecule: ribosomal RNA, 292 nt
Filed under: uncultured bacterium
Lineage: Bacteria
Description: partial 16S ribosomal RNA
Source: RNAcentral